ACGAUGGCGAGGAUGAAAGCAGAGUUGUACAGAAACAUGAUGAGAGAGACCCAGAGAAAUGUGCGGAAGAGGCGGGAGAAGACGGGAGGUAUGGCGGACAUGGUGGAGGAGAACGAGACGGCCUUGCCGGCGUAGAUGGAGGCGACGGUGAAGACGACGGCGGCGGUGGCGAGGAGGGAGAAGGUGAAGAGGAAGAGUAGGUAGAUGAACUCGUAGAGCAAGAGGAGGGCCCACUCGUGGCCAUGGGAGGCGGCGGGGGACGAUUUGAGGCGAUGGAGGAUGGGGUGGGUGAAGAUGGUGUGGGCGAGGACGGCGAAGGAGAGCGGGAAGACGAGGACGAGCGUGAUGAGGGAGAAGGUCCGGGGAGAAGCUCGGGGGAUGGAGAUCGAUUCCCGGAGGACUUCCCUCAGGCUCAGCUCCUGCAACUCCUCCGGCGGCCGAUCCAUCCCCCCCCCCCUCCCCCACUCCACGCCUCGUGAUCUGCAAGACGGAGAGAGAGAAGAGUGGGAAGAGAGAGAGAGAGAGGGUAGAGAGAGAAGAGAGCUAGGAGAAGAAAGAGGAGAGAGAGAAGAGAGAGAGAGAGAGAGAGUAGAGGGGGCUGGAUCGUCGUCUUCCUCCACGCGACUCCGAUCUACUUUUUUGGAAGUGCUU
RNAcentral lists this long non-coding RNA (651 nucleotides) under Spirodela polyrhiza (greater duckweed). RNAcentral describes it as "long non-coding RNA (SPOL_LNC002451)". The record is from RNAcentral. Lineage: Eukaryota; Viridiplantae; Streptophyta; Magnoliopsida; Alismatales; Araceae.